CACAUUUCAUUGUGAAAACCUUCUAAUUCAUACCUUCAAUUAUUUAAAAGCCUUUAAAAGACCUAUGUAACAAACUUGUAUGUUCUGCACAUGUAUCCCAGAACUUAAAGUAAAAUUUAAGAAAUUAAAAUUAAAUUUUAAAAAACAUUUCAAGGUUAAAAAAUAUAUAUGAGCUCCUGUUACUGUUAACGUAUAUUGGGUUUAAUAUUCUUUUAUACAGAAUUAUGAUGCUUUCUGUUUUGCGUAACACCAAAACACCAGUGAAAUUCUGGUUGCUAAAAAAUUAUCUCUCACCGACAUUUAAAGAAGUAAUUCCUCACAUGGCUAAAGAGUAUGGAUUCCGAUAUGAACUAGUUCAAUAUAGGUGGCCCCGUUGGCUUCGUCAACAGACUGAAAGACAGAGGAUUAUUUGGGGUUACAAAAUUCUUUUCCUUGAUGUUCUUUUCCCACUAGCAGUGGACAAAAUCAUUUUUGUUGAUGCUGACCAGAUUGUGAGAUAUGAUCUAAAAGAA
Molecule: small RNA, 512 nt
Filed under: Pan troglodytes (chimpanzee)
Lineage: Eukaryota; Metazoa; Chordata; Mammalia; Primates; Hominidae
Description: processed transcript
Source: RNAcentral